Molecule: long non-coding RNA, 1267 nt
Organism: Capsella rubella
Lineage: Eukaryota; Viridiplantae; Streptophyta; Magnoliopsida; Brassicales; Brassicaceae
Exons: 5
Source: RefSeq, a predicted model, not a curated record
GAAUUUACUUACCAAGAUGCAUGUAAAGUUUUUUCUUAUUCAUUCACACAAAAAUUGCCUUGGAUAGAUAGAUCUGUGGAGUUCGUUAGUGUAUGGGCUUGUUUAAUCUCGAGUCAAAACUUCAUUUAUGUGCUUCGGAUAUGUACGGUUUAAUUUGUAGGCAUCGAAAUAAUUUGUCAGUUCUACAAGUUAUCAGCGGUAGUGUUCGGUUAUAAGUAUUUUGAAAGAGGAUUUGUAUGUGUUGUUAGUUUGAUAUUUCUUAUGGGAGUCCGUUUUGAAUUUGAUUUCCAACUCGAUGUAACGAUUACUUUGUUGUGUUAGAAGAAAUAAGUUUAGAAAUGAUAUGUAUGGAAAGUUAUUAGAGUGUAACCAUCAACCUUAAUAUAUGAUUCAUAUGUUUUCAUUAUGCAUUUGAUUUAUGUGGAAAGAUUACCCUUUAUGCAUAUGAUUAUACUGAACCUUAACUCUUAUUGUUUCCGUUGUUUGUGAGGAUUGAAGUUAAGAUAGCAAGGAUACCUCAAUCGGAUUAUAAACACUAUUUUCUCCAAACUUAUAGGGCACUUCAUCUUUUCUGAUAAAAGAACCAUUCAGAUUGAGGCAACCCUGCUCUACUAUGGUUACUUGUUUUAAAACCUUUUCUCGUCUAGGCAGUGAAUGCUAUUGUUAUAAACCAACCAACUAGAUAUGAGGCAACCCUUCUCUACUCUGGUGAAGUCUAAUAUGGGACAUGAUUAUAGCUACUCACAACCAUCUACUUCAGAUCCGAGUGACCAAUACUCACAAGACACCGCAGAUAGGGAAACAAAAGGAUACAUUGAUGGAUGAAGCUCAGAGCAGUUAUCACUUUGCUCAGCCUAUUCAACCAGAGGUUGAGGUUUGAAUUCCGAAGUAAUGUUAUUGUGGAUGUCAACCUCUUCUUCAUACCUCAUACACAAGAAAUGAUCCGGGGAGAAGGUUCUACACUUGUGAAAAUGUCUCUGAUGGAGAGAUGAACAUCCACAAGUGGUGGGAUGUGGCAGUUAUGGAGGAUUUGAGAGAAAGGGCCACAUUAGAUGAAUUGUCCCAAGAAAAGGUGAGAGACCAAUAUAGUAAAAGUGAUGAAAAGAUUAAGGCACUUGAGAAGGUAGUUCAUGAGUUGCAGAAGAGUAAGCUUGUAGUGGGAUAUGAGUUGGUUAUUGGUGCCAGCUUUUCUAUAUAAAAGAAGGAAACCUUUCCCCUUCCAUUGUAACUCAUAAUCGCUUAUCACAUCUCUUUCCAUACAAUCGUA